UGCGUAGGUGGUUUCUUAAGUCAGAGGUGAAAGGCUACGGCUCAACCGUAGUAAGCCUUUGAAACUGGGAAACUUGAGUGCAGGAGAGGAGAGUGGAAUUCCUAGUGUAGCGGUGAAAUGCGUAGAUAUUAGGAGGAACACCAGUUGCGAAGGCGGCUCUCUGGACUGUGACUGACACUGAGGCACGAAAGCGUGGGGAGCAAACA
RNAcentral lists this ribosomal RNA (206 nucleotides) under uncultured bacterium. RNAcentral describes it as "partial 16S ribosomal RNA". It matches the Rfam family "Bacterial small subunit ribosomal RNA", at positions 568 to 774 of the family's 1533-position model. The record is from RNAcentral.